RNAcentral lists this ribosomal RNA (207 nucleotides) under uncultured bacterium. Its description in RNAcentral is "partial 16S ribosomal RNA". It matches the Rfam family "Bacterial small subunit ribosomal RNA", at positions 568 to 774 of the family's 1533-position model. The record is from RNAcentral.
UGUGUAGACGGCAUAUUAAGUCAAUUGUUAAAUUCUCCGGCCUAACCGGAGGCCAGCAGUAGAAACUGAUGUGCUAGAGGGUGGAAGGAGAGAAGUGGAAUUCUCGGAGUAGCGGUAAAAUGCGUAGAUCUCGAGAGGAACACCAAUGGCGAAGGCAGCUUCUUGGUCCAUUACUGACGUUGAGACACGAAAGCGUGGGAGCAAACA